Molecule: ribosomal RNA, 448 nt
Filed under: uncultured bacterium
Lineage: Bacteria
Description: bacterial SSU rRNA
Rfam family: Bacterial small subunit ribosomal RNA
Source: RNAcentral
UUCCAGACUCCUACGGGAGGCAGCAGUGGGGAAUAUUGGACAAUGGGGGGAACCCUGAUCCAGCGACGCCGCGUGAGUGAAGAAGUAUUUCGGUAUGUAAAGCUCUAUCAGCAGGGAAGAAAAUGACGGUACCUGACUAAGAAGCCCCGGCUAACUACGUGCCAGCAGCCGCGGUAAUACGUAGGGGGCAAGCGUUAUCCGGAUUUACUGGGUGUAAAGGGAGCGUAGACGGCAGCACAAGUCUGGAGUGAAAUCCCGGGGCUUAACCCCGGAACUGCUUUGGAAACUGUGCGGCUGGAGUGCAGGAGGGGUAAGCGGAAUUCCUAGUGUAGCGGUGAAAUGCGUAGAUAUUAGGAGGAACACCGGUGGCGAAGGCGGCUUACUGGACUGUAACUGACGUUGAGGCUCGAAAGCGUGGGGAGCAAACAGGAUUAGAUACCCUAGUACC